ACGCGAAGAACCUUACCUGGGCUUGACAUGUUCCUGACCGUCCUGGAAACAGGGCUUCCCUUCGGGGCAGGAUCACAGGUGGUGCAUGGCUGUCGUCAGCUCGUGUCGUGAGAUGUUGGGUUAAGUCCCGCAACGAGCGCAACCCCCGUCGUAUGUUGCCAGCAUUUAGUUGGGGACUCAUGCGAGACUGCCGGUGACAAACCGGAGGAAGGUGGGGAUGACGUCAAGUCAUCAUGCCCCUUAUGUCCAGGGCUACACACGUGCUACAUUGGCGCGUACAGAGGGCUGCGAUACCGCGAGGUGGAGCGAAUCCCUUAAAGCGCGUCUCGGUUCGGAUUGCAGGCUGAAACCCGCCUGCAUGAAGGCGGAGUUGCUAGUAAUCGCGGAUCAGCAUUGCCGCGGUGAAUACGUUCCCGGGCCUUGUACACACCG
Molecule: ribosomal RNA, 432 nt
Filed under: uncultured bacterium
Lineage: Bacteria
Description: bacterial SSU rRNA
Rfam family: Bacterial small subunit ribosomal RNA
Source: RNAcentral